RNAcentral lists this ribosomal RNA (1441 nucleotides) under metagenome. RNAcentral describes it as "bacterial SSU rRNA". It matches the Rfam family "Bacterial small subunit ribosomal RNA". The record is from RNAcentral.
AGAGUUUGAUCCUGGCUAGGAUGAACGCUGGCGGCGUGUUUAAGGCAUGCAAGUCGAAUGGGUUUAGACCCAUGGCAAACGGGUGAGUAACACAUUGGUAACCUACCCCUGAUUCGUGAAUAACUCGGAGAAAUCUGGGAUAAUACACGAUAGUCUCCGAUCACAUCAGUGCAUCGGAGUAAAGAUUUAUCGAUCAGGGAGGGGCCUAUGGCCUAUCAGCUUGUUGGUAGUGUAAAAGACUACCAAGGCUCUGACGGGUAGCGGGUGUGAGAGCAUGACCCGCCUCACGGGGACUGAGACACUGCCCUGACUCCUACGGGAGGCUGCAGUCAAGAAUCUUCCACAAUGGCCGAAAGGCUGAUGGAGCGACGCCGCGUGACCGAAGAAGCCCCUUGGGGUGUAAAGGUCCUUUCUGAGGGACGAAUCAAUGACGGUACCUCAGGAAUAAGGGGCUGCUAAUCACGUGCCAGCAGCAGCGGUAAUACGUGAGCCCCAAGCGUUAUCCGGAUUUAUUGGGCGUAAAGAGUCUGUAGGCGGCUUGGUGCGUUCUUUGUUAAAACUCUGGGCUUAACCCAGAGAUCACAAAGAAUACGGCCUCGCUAGAGACCGGAAGAGGCAGAUGGAACUGCCGGUGUAACGGUAAAAUGUGUUGAUAUCGGCAAGAACACCAAAUGCGAAGGCAUUCUGCUGGGACGGAUCUGACGCUGAGAGACGAAAGCGUGGGGAGAGAACGGGAUUAGAUACCCCGGUAUUCCACGCCGUAAACGAUGGUCACUGGACAUUGGCAGUAUCGACCCUGUCAGUGUCGUUUACCUAAGAUAACUCGUUAAGUGACCCGCCUGGGGAGUACGAGCGCAAGCUUAAAACUCAAAGGAAUUGACGGGUACCCGCACAAGCGGUGGAGCAUGUGGUUUAAUUCGACAAUAAGCGAGGAACCUUACCAGGGCUUGACAUCCUCGGAAUUUUUGGGAAACCAAGAAGUGCCCGCAAGGGAGCCGAGUGACAGGUGCUGCAUGGUUGUCGUCAGCUCGUGUCGUGAGAUGUACGGUUAAGUCCGGUAACGAGCGCAACCCCUAUACUGUGUUAAAUUGUUCACAGUAAACUGUCCAUGUAUAAUGGGAGGAAGGUGGGGAUGACGUCAAAUCAGCAUGGCUCUUACGCCCUGGGCGACACACGUGCUACAAUGGCCAAUACAAUGGGUUGCCAACCCGAAAGGGGGAGCUAAUCCCACCAAAAUUGGUCUCAGUUCGGAUUGAAGUCUGCAACUCGACUUCAUGAAGCUGGAAUCGCUAGUAACCGCAUAUCAGCCAUGGUGCGGUGAAUACGUUCUCGGGUUUUGUACACACCGCCCGUCACAUCAAGGGAGUCGGUAGUACCUGAAGUCUCUAUUUAUUAGGGCCCAAGGUAAGAUCGGCAACAGGGAUGAAGUCGUAACAAGGCA